CGGCGGCGCGGCGGAGCAGGAGGAACUGCACUACAUCCCCAUCCGCGUCCUGGGCCGCGGCGCCUUCGGGGAAGCCACGCUGUACCGCCGCACCGAGGAUGACUCACUGGUUGUGUGGAAGGAAGUCGAUUUGACCCGGCUGUCUGAGAAGGAACGUCGUGAUGCCUUGAAUGAGAUUGUUAUUCUGGCACUGCUGCAGCACGACAACAUUAUUGCCUACUACAAUCACUUCAUGGACAAUACCACGCUGCUGAUUGAGCUGGAAUAUUGUAAUGAUGGUGGUGUGGUACCUAUUUCAGAUUGUUUCAGCAGUGAGCUGCAUCCAUAAAGCUGGAAUCCUUCAUAGAGAUAUAAAGACAUUAAAUAUUUUUCUGACCAAGGCAAACCUGAUAAAACUUGGAGAUUAUGGCCUA
RNAcentral lists this long non-coding RNA (413 nucleotides) under Homo sapiens (human). RNAcentral describes it as "HSALNT0213222". Lineage: Eukaryota; Metazoa; Chordata; Mammalia; Primates; Hominidae. The record is from RNAcentral.